AAUGCCUACGGGACGAGCAGUGAGGAAUAUUGGUCAAUGGGCGGAAGCCUGAACCAGCCAAGUCGCGUGAGGGAAUAAGGCCCUACGGGUCGUAAACCUCUUUUGCCGGGGAGCAAGGGCCGGGACGCGUCCCGGCCCGGAGAGUACCCGGAGAGAGAGCAUCGGCUAACUCCGUGCCAGCAGCCGCGGUAAUACGGAGGAUGCGAGCGUUAUCCGGAUUUAUUGGGUUUAAAGGGUGCGUAGGCGGGCUUUUAAGUCAGCGGUAAAAAUUCGGGGCUCAACC
Molecule: ribosomal RNA, 283 nt
Filed under: uncultured bacterium
Lineage: Bacteria
Description: partial 16S ribosomal RNA
Rfam family: Bacterial small subunit ribosomal RNA
Source: RNAcentral